UACGAAGGGGGCUAGCGUUGCUCGGAAUUACUGGGCGUAAAGCGCACGUAGGCGGAUUGUUAAGUCGGGGGUGAAAUCCUGGAGCUCAACUCCAGAACUGCCUUCGAUACUGGCGAUCUAGAGUCCGGGAGAGGUGAGUGGAACUGCGAGUGUAGAGGUGAAAUUCGUAGAUAUUCGCAAGAACACCAGUGGCGAAGGCGGCUCACCGGCCCGGUACUGACGCUGAGACGCGAAAGCGUGGGGAGCAAACAGG
Molecule: ribosomal RNA, 253 nt
Filed under: uncultured bacterium
Lineage: Bacteria
Description: partial 16S ribosomal RNA
Rfam family: Bacterial small subunit ribosomal RNA
Source: RNAcentral